Molecule: ribosomal RNA, 468 nt
Filed under: uncultured bacterium
Lineage: Bacteria
Description: partial 16S ribosomal RNA
Rfam family: Bacterial small subunit ribosomal RNA
Source: RNAcentral
GACGAACGCUGGCGGCGUGCUUAACACAUGCAAGUCGAACGGAAAGGCCCUGCUUUUGUGGGGUGCUCGAGUGGCGAACGGGUGAGUAACACGUGAGUAACCUGCCCUUGACUUUGGGAUAAAUUCAGGAAACUGGGGCUAAUACCGGAUAGGAGCUCUUGCUGCAUGGUGGGGGUUGGAAAGUUUCGGCGGUUGGGGAUGGACUCGCGGCUUAUCAGCUUGUUGGUGGGGUAGUGGCUUACCAAGGCUUUGACGGGUAGCCCGCCUGAGAGGGUGACCGGCCACAUUGGGACUGAGAUACGGAGCAGACUGCUACGGGAGGCAGCAGUGGGGAAUAUUGCACAAUGGGCGGAAGCCUGAUGCAGCAACGCCGCGUGCGGGAUGACGGACUUCGGGUUGUAAACCGCUUUCUCCUGUGACGAAGCGUGAGUGACGGUAAUGGGUAAAGAAGCACCGGCUAACUACGUG